This 483-nucleotide ribosomal RNA is filed under the name uncultured bacterium. Its description in RNAcentral is "partial 16S ribosomal RNA". It matches the Rfam family "Bacterial small subunit ribosomal RNA", at positions 29 to 506 of the family's 1533-position model. The record is from RNAcentral.
AUUGAACGCUGGCGGAAUGCUUUACACAUGCAAGUCGAGCGGCAGCACGGGGGCAACCCUGGUGGCGAGCGGCGAACGGGUGAGUAAUACAUCGGAACAUGCCCAGUCGUGGGGGAUAACACUUCGAAAGAAGUGCUAAUACCGCAUACGUCCUGAGGGAGAAAGCGGGGGAUCGCAAGACCUCGCGCGAUUGGAGUGGCCGAUGUCAGAUUAGCUAGUUGGUGGGGUAAAGGCCUACCAAGGCAACGAUCUGUAGCUGGUCUGAGAGGAUGAUCAGCCACACUGGGACUGAGACACGGCCCAGACCCCUACGGGAGGCAGCAGUGGGGAAUUUUGGACAAGGGGGGCAACCCUGAUCCAGCCAUUCCGCGGGAGUGAAGAAGGCCUUCGGGUUGUAAAGCGCUUUCGGCAGGAACGAAACGGCGAGCUAUAACAUAGCUUGCUAAUGACGGUACCGGAAGAAGAAGCACCGGCUAACUACGU